Molecule: ribosomal RNA, 501 nt
Filed under: uncultured bacterium
Lineage: Bacteria
Description: bacterial SSU rRNA
Rfam family: Bacterial small subunit ribosomal RNA
Source: RNAcentral
AACGCUGGCGGCGUGCCUAACACAUGCAAGUCGAACGGACUUAUCGCUGCAGAGACUUCGGUCAAAGCUUGAGUAAAGUAGUGGCGGACGGGUGAGUAACGCGUGGGCAACCUGCCUCAUACUGGGGGAUAACAGUUGGAAACGACUGUUAAUACCGCAUAAGCGCACAGCAUCGCAUGAUGCAGUGUGAAAAAACUCCGGUGGUAUGAGAUGGGCCCGCGUCAGAUUAGCUAGUUGGCGGGGUAACGGCCCACCAAGGCGACGAUCUGUAGCCGGACUGAGAGGUCGGACGGCCACAUUGGGACUGAGACACGGCCCAAACUCCUACGGGAGGCAGCAGUGGGGGAUAUUGCACAAUGGAGGAAACUCUGAUGCAGCGACGCCGCGUGAGUGAAAGAAGUAUUUCGGUAUGUAAAGCUCUAUCAGCAGGGAAGAAAGGCUCGCAAGAGAGAUGACGGUACCUGACUAAGAAGCCCCGGCUAACUACGUGCCAGCAGCAGC